This 233-nucleotide ribosomal RNA is filed under the name uncultured Rhizophagus. RNAcentral's name for it is "partial small subunit ribosomal RNA". It matches the Rfam family "Eukaryotic small subunit ribosomal RNA", at positions 548 to 778 of the family's 1831-position model. Lineage: Eukaryota; Fungi; Glomeromycota; Glomeromycetes; Glomerales; Glomeraceae. The record is from RNAcentral.
UUGGAGGGCAAGUCUGGUGCCAGCAGCCGCGGUAAUUCCAGCUCCAAUAGCGUAUAUUAAAGUUGUUGCAGUUAAAAAGCUCGUAGUUGAAUUUCGGGGUCAGUAGGUUGGUCAUGCCUCUGGUAUGUACUGGUCUCACUGAUUCCUACCUUUCCUGAUGAACCCGUCAAUGUCCAUUAAUUUGGUGUUGCGGGGAAUUUGGACUGUUACUUUGAAAAAAUUAGAGUGUUUAA